RNAcentral lists this long non-coding RNA (206 nucleotides) under Elaeis guineensis (African oil palm). RNAcentral describes it as "long non-coding RNA (EGUI_LNC014424)". The record is from RNAcentral. Lineage: Eukaryota; Viridiplantae; Streptophyta; Magnoliopsida; Arecales; Arecaceae.
UAUAUGUCCAUCCAGCGGCUCAUUAGACCAAAUCUAAGUGGAAGCAAUGGGCUAAAAACUAAAAAUAGAAAGGAGAAGGUUUAUCAACCCUUAUCUUCACCACCAAUGAGCUCUCAUACCCAUAAUCAUGGUGAAAUCCUCCAACAAAAAGAAUAAAAAUCCGACUAAAUCAAAAGAUCCCAAGCUCAAAUUCUAAAGGAAAGGUU